UUUGGUAAGUUUAUCUUGGCUUGAAUUCUUCCUUCUCAUCUUUGUCUCUUUUCACACUUCAUGUUUAGUAGUUUUUGAAGUUGCUUCCAUGCUAUGAUAUGCUCUGAAAUUCUGAAGAAAUUAUUUUAUUCAUAACUCAAGACUCCUUCCCUGUGGUAACAUGGAAAACAGUACAGAUUUAGAUAUCAACCCAACAGAUCAGCCCAUGUGGUUUUCUUUGCUCCCUCCAGAAUUGUUUUUUGUUCCUGUUGUUGUUUUAUGUUUCGUUUUGUUGGUGGGGUGAGAGAGCUUCAUCUUUAUGUAAGUGUCUUCAGAUAGGCAGUUCAUGUUAUUGUUUUUCAAGUGAAAUCUCCUAUGAAAUUUCAUUUCAUAGUCAGGAGAGCUCAACCACCUCCCAUCUCUGAGAGAAAGUCAGCCUCCUGGCUUGCCCUCCCAUCAUACCCUUUUAUCUGGCUGUAGAGUUAAGUCAAUGGUACUACUUUUUUUUUUUAAGUGUUUGGUAAAAUACUUUAUUAAACACUUCAAAUCUUUUGUACAGUUUAAACUUAGCAGAUCACAGAUGAAUUUUCAAGACAGUUACAUGUGUUGAAACCACCUUGGAAUGCUUUAUGAAGAAUAUUCUCAGUUUAAAAGGUAGGAUAUAGUUUUAUUUCAAGAUAUUUGCUUAUCAGAGAGGUAGAAAGCUAGGAUGUUAGUGUCAGGAAGAAGAAAGAAUAGAAUAUAGAGUUUAGAAGACAGAAAGAACAUAGUGACACUGUAGGCAGAGAAAAAUGAUGCAGCAAAUAUAAUAUGUCAUUUCUUGAGCAUUUACCAUGUGCUGGAAUUUUAAGUUAAAUUAUUAAGGUAAAUUAUUAAUCCAAUGUUCAUCUUAUUGAUUAGGUGUUAUUACUAUUAUUGCUGCUAUUAUUUGGCAAAUUCAAGAAAUUAUAAACUUGAUAAAUUUGAGAAAAUAAGAUAUCAAGUCAAUUUUUCAGGAUCAUACAGCUAAUAAUCUAACACAAUUAAAGGCUUUCUGAAUCCAGAGUUUGUUGAAUCUUAAAAUUUUUAUCCUGUGUGAAAGGACAGUGAUGAAUGGAAUAUCAUUAGCUGAUAGAGACAUUCGUUUUUGUUACUUGUAUGCAUAUCACAUACAUAAUGAGCAGAUUGAUCAAAUAUUGAGACCAACUAGAGUAAUAAGAGUGUGCAACCAAUGUUGAAGCAAAUUUAGUAGAGAAGUCUAGCAUUGAAAAGCUAGAGAAUUGGAUUUCAUUAUUUUCCUAUUUUGAUCCUCUAUUAUAACUUCCUAAAAAUAUUUAAGGAAGGAGCAAAGCGAAAAUAGCAAAUAAACUGAUAUAAUGGAAAAUAGUCAGGGAUAAAAUGACAAACCAAAUUUCUUGUGCUUUGUUGGAGAAGGUAACAGGAAGGACAUUACUCCCAGUUGCACCAAGAACUGGACUCUGCAAUCAGAGGCACCUCAUCUUCUCUCUUGUGCUCAAAACGUACACUGUCCCCACUCUUCCCACAGUGGAAGGUGUUUUAAGGACUAAACUUGAGAGAGCAAUGUGUUGUUGAGACCAAAGAUGGUCUCAGUGAUUGAACUGACUUAAGACCUCUAUAUAAAUGUCUGUGUCAUGGCAGGUGGGUGCAGAGAUCUACACAUCUUGUGGCUCCCUAAGACAAGCCUCAUAAAUAAGUUCCUUUGCUUGUUCAACCUGCCACCUACCAAUUUGGAAUGGCUACCUCUUUCUUUGGUCUACCCUGGCCCUCGGUUUUGGAGGAGGGCAGUUAGUGAACCAACAUGCUUCCAUUAUCUUCCCUUGAGGACAUAUAUAAAAAUUUCAAAGUUUUUAUAGAAGAGUUAUACUAAUUUCCUGAGUAAUGAAAGAAUGUGAAGGACUACCUCUAGAUUGCUUUCUAUCUUACUCAAUCCACUGGUAUCAAAGAUGCCCUUGAAAUAGUGGAGCUGGCUUGAGUGUGGAGAAAGAAUGGAUAAUAGUACAAAACCACAGAAAGAUGAAAGGAGAUUGAUGCAAGCAAGGAGCUUGAAGAAUAGUACCUAGGACUCAGUGAAGCACAGUGGGAAACAAUAUAACAGAACUCCCUACUGAUGAGAAGUGAGACCUUCCAACAUCCCAUGCAGUCGUGCAGGUGUCUGAGACGGAGCAACUCAAUAUGAGCAAAAACCUCAUGCUGUGAGCGAGGAAAAGAAGUGUUGCUGAAAAAGAUAAUGUGAGCCAUGAUCAGAGCGAUUAUUAAGCUCCUGCUCAGUCUCUCUCUCUCUCUGUAUAUAUAUACAUAUAUAUAUACACACAUAUAUAUGAAUAUAUACUCAUUCAAAAUAUAUAUUCAAAAUAUAGUGUAUAGAAUGUAUAUAAAAUUUAUAUAUGUAUAUAUAUUCAAAAUGCAUAUAAAGAAUGAGAAUAGAAUGAAUAUCAUAUCAUAACAUACUAAAGAUUUCACAUAACAGUUAAGAACCUAAAAGUAAUACAUUUGUUAGGAACAGAAAAUAAUGAAAAUAGGAAAACAAGUAAUGGUCUAAGUUUUUUUUAAAUGUUAUUUUCACCUAUAUUUUGAUAUCCAUUCUGCAUUAUGACUCUUGCUGCUUUUUUCUUUAACAAAAAAUAAUGUGUUUAAAUGCAUAUAUCCAUUUAUGGUAAUUCAUUUCGUCAGGUGAAACGUUCACUCUUAACAUACAUCUAUGUCAAGAAUGAAAUCAUAGCUUACGUCACUUUUCCCUAAUUCAUUUUCUUUCUUUCUUCUUUUAAUGUAUUUAUUUAUUUGAGAGAUGAGAGAAAAAGAGCAAGGGGCAGGAGGGGCAAAGGGAGAGGAAGAGACUCUCAAACAAACUCUCCACUGAGCACAGAGUCUCCAUCUCAUGAUCCUGAGAUCACAAAGUGGACUGAAAUCAAGAGUUGGCCACUUAACUUACUGAACCACCCAGGCAUCCCUAAUUCUUUUUCUUUCUGACUGAAAUUCCCACCAUUGUUUUUAUCUCUCCAUCGGCCCUGUCAUUCUUAUCUUCUCAUCUGUAAAAACAUUUCUAUCUAUUUAUUUAAAUUUUGAUAAUAUAUUUAUGUGACAAAAUAUUCCCUGAACACUAAUUAGUACAAAAGAUGACUUGUUAAAAAAUAGGACAUGAUAACAAAUAUCAAUCCCAUGCCA
RNAcentral lists this long non-coding RNA (3141 nucleotides) under Canis lupus familiaris (dog). Its description in RNAcentral is "lncRNA (ENSCAFG00845006864.1)". The record is from RNAcentral. Lineage: Eukaryota; Metazoa; Chordata; Mammalia; Carnivora; Canidae.